AGAGUUUGAUCAUGGCUCAGGACGAACGCUGGCGGCGUGCUUAACACAUGCAAGUCGAACGGAAAGGCCCUUCGGGGUACUCGAGUGGCGAACGGGUGAGUAACACGUGGGUGAUCUGCCCUGCACUUUGGGAUAAGCCUGGGAAACUGGGUCUAAUACCGAAUAUGACCAUGCGCCUCCUGGUGUGUGGUGGAAAGCUUUUGCGGUGCAGGAUGGGCCCGCGGCCUAUCAGCUUGUUGGUGGGGUAAUAGCCUACCAAGGCGACGACGGGUAGCCGACCUGAGAGGGUGACCGGCCACACUGGGACUGAGACACGGCCCAGACUCCUACGGGAGGCAGCAGUGGGGAAUAUUGCACAAUGGGCGGAAGCCUGAUGCAGCGACGCCGCGUGAGGGAUGAAGGCCUUCGGGUUGUAAACCUCUUUCAGCAGGGACGAAGCGUGAGUGACGGUACCUGCAGAAGAAGCACCGGCUAACUACGUGCCAGCAGCCGCGGUAAUACGUAGGGUGCGAGCGUUGUCCGGAAUUACUGGGCGUAAAGAGUUCGUAGGCGGUUUGUCGCGUCGUUUGUGAAAACCCGGGGCUCAACUUCGGGCUUGCAGGCGAUACGGGCAGACUUGAGUGUUUCAGGGGAGACUGGAAUUCCUGGUGUAGCGGUGAAAUGCGCAGAUAUCAGGAGGAACACCGGUGGCGAAGGCGGGUCUCUGGGAAACAACUGACGCUGAGGAACGAAAGCGUGGGUAGCAAACAGGAUUAGAUACCCUGGUAGUCC
RNAcentral lists this ribosomal RNA (771 nucleotides) under uncultured bacterium. RNAcentral's name for it is "bacterial SSU rRNA". It matches the Rfam family "Bacterial small subunit ribosomal RNA", at positions 8 to 796 of the family's 1533-position model. The record is from RNAcentral.